GACGAACGCUGGCGGCGGGCUUAACACAUGCAAGUCGAACGGAAAGGCCCUGCUUUUGUGGGGUGCUCGAGGGGCGAACGGGUGAGUAACACGUGAGUAACCUGCCCUUGACUUUGGGAUAACUUCAGGAAACUGGGGCUAAUACCGGAUAGGAGCUCCUGCUGCAUGGUGGGGGUUGGAAAGUUUCGGCGGUUGGGGAUGGACGCGCGGCUUAUCAGCUUGUUGGUGGGGUAGUGGCUUACCAAGGCUUUGACGGGUAGCCGGCCGGAGAGGGUGACCGGCCACCUUGGGCCUGCGAUACGGCCCAGACUCCUACGUGAGGCAGCAGUGGGGAAUAUUGCACAAUGGGCGGAAGCCUGAUGCAGCAACGCCGCGUGCGGGAUGACGGCCUUCGGGUUGUAAACCGCUUUCGCCUGUGACGAAGCGUGAGUGACGGUACUGGGUAAAGAAGCACCGGCUAACUACGUG
This 468-nucleotide ribosomal RNA is filed under the name uncultured bacterium. Its description in RNAcentral is "partial 16S ribosomal RNA". It matches the Rfam family "Bacterial small subunit ribosomal RNA", at positions 28 to 507 of the family's 1533-position model. The record is from RNAcentral.